Molecule: ribosomal RNA, 420 nt
Filed under: uncultured Nitrososphaerota archaeon
Lineage: Archaea; Thermoproteati; Nitrososphaerota
Description: bacterial SSU rRNA
Rfam family: Archaeal small subunit ribosomal RNA
Source: RNAcentral
CAGCCGCCGCGGUAAAACCAGCACCUCAAGUGGUCAGGAUGAUUAUUGGGCCUAAAGCAUCCGUAGCCGGCUCUGUAAGUUUUCGGUUAAAUCUGUAUGCUCAACAUACAGGCUGCCGGGAAUACUGCAGAGCUAGGGAGUGGGAGAGGUAGACGGUACUCGAUAGGAAGGGGUAAAAUCCUUUGAUCUAUUGAUGACCACCUGUGGCGAAGGCGGUCUACCAGAACACGUCCGACGGUGAGGGAUGAAAGCUGGGGGAGCAAACCGGAUUAGAUACCCGGGUAGUCCCAGCUGUAAACUAUGCAAACUCAGUGAUGCAUUGGCUUGUGGCCAAUGCAGUGCUGCAGGGAAGCCGUUAAGUUUGCCGCCUGGGAAGUACGUACGCAAGUAUGAAACUUAAAGGAAUUGGCGGGGGAGCAC